RNAcentral lists this ribosomal RNA (440 nucleotides) under uncultured bacterium. RNAcentral's name for it is "partial 16S ribosomal RNA". It matches the Rfam family "Bacterial small subunit ribosomal RNA", at positions 338 to 795 of the family's 1533-position model. The record is from RNAcentral.
CCUACGGGAGGCAGCAGUGGGGGAUAUUGCACAAUGGGGGAAACCCUGAUGCAGCGACGCCGCGUGUGGGAAGACGGUCCUCUGGAUUGUAAACCACUGUCCCCAGGGACGAAGAUGACGGUACCUGGGGAGGAAGCUCCGGCUAACUACGUGCCAACAGCCGCGGUAAUACGUAGGGAGCGAGCGUUGUCCGGAAUUACUGGGUGAAAAGGGAGCGUAGGCGGGACUGCAAGUUGGGUGUCAAAUCUACCGGCUCAACCGGUAGCCGCACUCAAAACUGCAGUUCUUGAGUGAAGUAGAGGCAGGCGGAAUUCCUAGUGUAGCGGUGAAAUGCGUAGAUAUUAGGAGGAACACCAGUGGCGAAGGCGGCCUGCUGGGCUUUUACUGACGCUGAGGCUCGAAAGUGUGGGGAGCAAACAGGAUUAGAUACCCGAGUAGUC